AUGCCGGUCGCCCUGCCGCCACCGCCGGAGGAGAAGGAGCAGCAGCAGCAGCAGCAGCCGGCGGCCGAUGCGAUCCAGCUCCAGCCUCUCGAAUCGGGUCCGUUUGCUUCUUUGUAUCUCCUACGCGCCUCGCGCCUGUCCGGGGUUGUGCCCAACCAGGCCCGCCGGGUGAAGGGAAUCGAGCGCCGGCCCUACAACGAGGGGGAGACGCACGCUGCGAGCCCUCAUGACCGCGCCGCGACCCCGACCGGCGGCGGGGUUCUUUCGAGCUUGCUGGCAUCUGCUGCAAAUGCCCAGGGGGCGGUGCUGCGAGCUCACCAUCGUCCUCCGAGCUCACUGUCGGGAGGGGGGAGGGGAGGAUCUGGGUCAGGCGGUCAAGGAAAACCGGGAGAAGACUUCACAAGGUCAAAUUUCAUCUCAGGAUACGAACUUUCUGAACCAUGCUCAAAGAGUGUGUUUGAUUUUGACAUCUUCCACUUCUAUCUUCUGCCGGAUAACAAGCUUGAUUAUGUUGAUACUUCGUGCUGUUCUCGUAAUCUUAUCUGUGGAGAGAGCUAUUACCGUGUGUGUGUGGUUCACACUGUUCCUCUGGUGUUGAAGCUUCAGAAAGAUGAUCACACAGAUGCAUGUCCCGUAUUUUCAGAAAAUUUCCGGUGGGGAAGGCACCAAGACGCCCAUGAAUUCCUCCGCUGCUUGCUUGAUAAAUUAGAUGAGGCCUCUGUCCCUCCCAGGUCCCCAUCAUCUGAGAGACCCUCUUCAAUUGUCACACAGGUUUUUGGAGGACAGCUAAAAAGCCAGUUGCAUUGCCCAGAGUGCAACUAUUGCUCAGACAGAUUGGAGCCUUUCCUUGACCUUAACUUGGAGGUCAUCCCGAUGGCCACUGUCAUGGAUGCACUAAAAUCUUUUACCAAGAUUGAGGUGUUUGAGAAUUACGGUUGUGAUGGGUGCAAAUCUCGUGUGAACAUGGAAAAACAAUUAAAGGUGGAGCAGGCUCCAGAAGUUCUUGUAAUCCAGCUCAAGCGGUUUCAAAAUUUUGGAAGUCAUAUAACUAAGAUUGAAGACUGCAUGAUGUAUCAGGAAGAGCUGGACUUAAACCCAUUCAUGAGCUCCCCGGAUAAUAAACCUCAGAAAUAUGAUUUGUAUGGAGUUGUACAACACGAGGGUGCUCCAUCAAAUGGUCACUAUGUUUGUUAUAUCCGUUCGUCACGAACUAAUUGGUUUCACUUCAAUGAUUCUAAGGUUAUGAAAAUCAAUGAUGUCAUGGCUUUGGAGAGUGAAGCAUACCUUCUAUUCUAUGCAAAGCAAGGUUCAUCCCCGUGGUUCUCUACCUUACUUAAGAGAAAAAACAACGUUUCCGGUGACACUGAGGAGGGUGGUUACAGUAGCAGUAGCAGUGAAGAUGACUAUUAUCCUGAAGGCCUGUCUUGGCAUAAUGAUGGCGACAAAACCAGAUCGGCGACGAAAGAAGAAACAGAUCUGCAGCUUAGACAAAUAAUAUCUAUGCAAAAAGAGAAGUGCGGCGAGAGAGAGAUUGAAGAAAAAGCGAAGGCAGAAGGAGACAGCAGCAUCCAAACUACUUGUCCUGAAAGCUUGUCUUGGCGUAAGGAAGCUGAUGUCAAGGGCUCUGAUGAUUCUCCAGCUGGACCAUUGCUCGGACCAGCAGGCUCUCACUCUGACAACAUUGCUAAGGGCAAGCGCACUUAUAAGGCUAUUGUUCAAGAGGAAACGACGCCAGACGAGCUUUUGCAGCAUUUGAAAGAGAUGGUGCCUAGCAUAUUUGCCAAAGCUUUGGAAGGCAUGCAUACGUCUCUUGCACUUUCAGAGGCUUUGAAGAGAGAGCAUGUUGUGGAAAUGCAUAAUGAUGAUGACGACAAAACCCGAUCAGUGAGGAAGCGUAAGUGGGAGUGGGACAAUAACCUCAAAGUGGUGGAAGAAGAAGAAGAAGAAGAAGAAGAAGAUGAUGAUGAUGAUGAUGUUGAAGAAGAACCGUACUACUAUGUCUACUCGGACUAA
This 2013-nucleotide ribosomal RNA is filed under the name Triticum aestivum (bread wheat). RNAcentral describes it as "partial small subunit ribosomal RNA". Lineage: Eukaryota; Viridiplantae; Streptophyta; Magnoliopsida; Poales; Poaceae. The record is from RNAcentral.